CCUACCUUGGCUCAGUUGGUAGAGCGGAGGACUGUAGAUCCUCAGGUCACUGGUUCGAAUCCGGCAGGUCGGA
This 73-nucleotide transfer RNA is filed under the name Populus tomentosa. Its description in RNAcentral is "tRNA-Tyr". It matches the Rfam family "tRNA". Rfam says of the family: Transfer RNA (tRNA) molecules are approximately 80 nucleotides in length. Their secondary structure includes four short double-helical elements and three loops (D, anti-codon, and T loops). The record is from RNAcentral. Lineage: Eukaryota; Viridiplantae; Streptophyta; Magnoliopsida; Malpighiales; Salicaceae.